CCUACGGGAGGCAGCAGUGGGGAAUAUUGGACAAUGGGCGAAAGCCUGAUCCAGCAAUGCCGCGUGAGUGAUGAAGGCCUUCGGGUCGUAAAGCUCUUUUACCAGGGAUGAUAAUGGCAGUACCUGGAGAAUAAGCUCCGGCUAACUCCGUGCCAGCAGCCGCGGUAAUACGGAGGGAGCUAGCGUUGUUCGGAAUUACUGGGCGUAAAGAGUACGUAGGCGGUUAUUCAAGUCAGAGGUGAAAGCCCGGGGCUCAACCCCGGAACUGCCUUUGAAACUAGAUAACUAGAGUCUUGGAGAGGUUAGUGGAAUUCCGAGUGUAGAGGUGAAAUUCGUAGAUAUUCGGAAGAACACCAGUGGCGAAGGCGACUAACUGGACAAGUACUGACGCUGAGGUACGAAAGCGUGGGGAGCAAACAGGAUUAGAUACCCUGGUAGUCCACGCCGUAAACGAUGAUAACUAGUUGUUCGGUCACUUGGUGACUGAGUGACGCAGCUAACGCAUUAAGUUAUCCGCCUGGGGAGUACGGUCGCAAGAUUAAAACUCAAAGGAAUUGACGG
This 561-nucleotide ribosomal RNA is filed under the name uncultured bacterium. RNAcentral describes it as "bacterial SSU rRNA". It matches the Rfam family "Bacterial small subunit ribosomal RNA", at positions 338 to 916 of the family's 1533-position model. The record is from RNAcentral.